This 25-nucleotide microRNA is filed under the name Microcaecilia unicolor. RNAcentral describes it as "Mun-Mir-34-P3a_5p (mature (guide))". Lineage: Eukaryota; Metazoa; Chordata; Amphibia; Gymnophiona; Siphonopidae. The record is from RNAcentral.
UGGCAGUGCAGUGCUAGUUGGCUGU